AAAAAUACCCAGCAUAGAGAUACUGUGACCAAAAGUCUUACCCAUUGCACUCUGGAUGUGCUGACCCUUGCAAUUUCCCCAAAUGUGGGAAAUUCAACUGCAUAAUUUGUGGUAGUGGGGGCUGCAUUUGCACUCUCCCC
This 140-nucleotide small nuclear RNA is filed under the name Castor canadensis (American beaver). Its description in RNAcentral is "U1 spliceosomal RNA (ENSCCNG00000017116.1)". It matches the Rfam family "U1 spliceosomal RNA". From Rfam's summary of the family: U1 is a small nuclear RNA (snRNA) component of the spliceosome (involved in pre-mRNA splicing). Its 5' end forms complementary base pairs with the 5' splice junction, thus defining the 5' donor site of an intron. The record is from RNAcentral. Lineage: Eukaryota; Metazoa; Chordata; Mammalia; Rodentia; Castoridae.